GCUAUACAUGCAGUCGAGCGGACAGAUGAGGAGCUUGCUCCUCUGAUGUUAGCGGCGGACGGGUGAGUAACACGUGGGCAACCUACCUGUAAGACGGGGAUAACUCCGGGAAACCGGAGCUAAUACCGGAUAAUAAAGAGAAACGCCUGUUUCUUUUUUGAAAGUCGGUUUCGGCUGACACUUACAGAUGGGCCCGCGGCGCAUUAGCUAGUUGGUGAGGUAACGGCUCACCAAGGCGACGAUGCGUAGCCGACCUGAGAGGGUGAUCGGCCACACUGGGACUGAGACACGGCCCAGACUCCUACGGGAGGCAGCAGUAGGGAAUCUUCGGCAAUGGACGAAAGUCUGACCGAGCAACGCCGCGUGAGCGAUGAAGGCCUUCGGGUCGUAAAGCUCUGUUGUCAGGGAAGAACAAGUACCGGAGUAACUGCCGGUACCUUGACGGUACCUGACCAGAAAGCCACGGCUAACUACGUGCCAGCAGCCGCGGUAAUACGUAGGUGGCAAGCGUUGUCCGGAAUUAUUGGGCGUAAAGCGCGCGCAGGCGGUUCUUUAAGUCUGAUGUGAAAGCCCACGGCUCAACCGUGGAGGGUCAUUGGAAACUGGGGAACUUGAGUGCAGGAGAGAAAAGUGGAAUUCCACGUGUAGCGGUGAAAUGCGUAGAGAUGUGGAGGA
RNAcentral lists this ribosomal RNA (675 nucleotides) under Fictibacillus solisalsi. RNAcentral's name for it is "bacterial SSU rRNA". It matches the Rfam family "Bacterial small subunit ribosomal RNA", at positions 48 to 705 of the family's 1533-position model. The record is from RNAcentral. Lineage: Bacteria; Bacillati; Bacillota; Bacilli; Caryophanales; Fictibacillaceae.